GACGAACGCUGGCGGCAUGCUUAACACAUGCAAGUCGAACGGAAAGGCCCUGCUUUUGUGGGGUGCUCGAGUGGCGAACGGGUGAGUAACACGUGAGUAACCUGCCCUUGACUUUGGGAUAACUUCAGGAAACUGGGGCUAAUACCGGAUAGGAGCUCCUGCUGCAUGGUGGGGGUUGGAAAGUUUCGGCGGUUGGGGAUGGACUCGCGGCUUAUCAGCUUGUUGGUGGGGUAGUGGCUUACCAAGGCUUUGACGGGUAGCCGGCCUGAGAGGGUGACCGGCCACAUUGGGACUGAGAUACGGCCCAGACUCCUACGGGAGGCAGCAGUGGGGAAUAUUGCACAAUGGGCGGAAGCCCGAUGCAGCAACGCCGCGUGCGGGAUGACGGCCUUCGGGUUGUAAACCGCUUUCGCCUGUGACGAAGCGUGAGUGACGGUAAUGGGUAAAGAAGCACCGGCUAACUACGUGCCAGCAGCCGCGGUGAUACGUAGGGUGCGAGCGUUGUCCGGAUUUAUUGGGCGUAAAGGGCUCGUAGGUGGUUGAUCGCGUCGGAAGUGUAAUCUUGGGGCUUAACCCUGAGCGUGCUUUCGAUACGGGUUGACUUGAGGAAGGUAGGGGAGAAUGGAAUUCCUGGUGGAGCGGUGGAAUGCGCAGAUAUCAGGAGGAACACCAGUGGCGAAGGCGGUUCUCUGGGCCUUUCCUGACGCUGAGGAGCGGAAGCGUGGGGAGCGAACAGGCUUAGAUACCCUGGUAGUCCACGCUGUAAACGGUGGGUACUAGGUGUGGGGUCCAUUCCACGGGUUCCGUGCCGUAGCUAACGCUUUAAGUACCCCGCCUGGGGAGUACGGCCGCAAGGCUAAAACUCAAAGGAAUUGACGGGGCCCCGCACAAGCGGCGGAGCAUGCGGAUUAAUUCGAUGCAACGCGUAGAACCUUACCUGGGUUUGACAUGGAUCGGGAGUGCUCAGAGAUGGGUGUGCCUCUUUUGGGGUCGGUUCACAGGUGGUGCAUGGCUGUCGUCAGCUCGUGUCGUGAGAUGUUGGGUUAAGUCCCGCAACGAGCGCAACCCUUGUUCACUGUUGCCAGCACGUUAUGGUGGGGACUCAGUGGAGACCGCCGGGGUCAACUCGGAGGAAGGUGGGGAUGACGUCAAGUCAUCAUGCCCCUUAUGUCCAGGGCUUCACGCAUGCUACAAUGGCUGGUACAGAGAGUGGCGAGCCUGUGAGGGUGAGCGAAUCUCGGAAAGCCGGUCUCAGUUCGGAUUGGGGUCUGCAACUCGACCUCAUGAAGUCGGAGUCGCUAGUAAUCGCAGAUCAGCAACGCUGCGGUGAAUACGUUCCCGGGGCU
Molecule: ribosomal RNA, 1346 nt
Filed under: uncultured bacterium
Lineage: Bacteria
Description: partial 16S ribosomal RNA
Rfam family: Bacterial small subunit ribosomal RNA
Source: RNAcentral